AUGGGAUUAUUACACAUAACUGUUUUCUCUUUUUACAUUAUUUUGUAUAGUUUUCAUUUUCACGACGGUGUUCUCCUACUAGAACGUCAGUCUCUUUGUACAAAAAUAUUUGUUAAAAUUGAAUAUGAUUAUUGUUCACAAUACUUGCAUAAAAAAACAAAAAGACAGUUACAAAUGACUUUAAGAAAUGGGGCAAAGUCUAAAAAAGCAAUUUGUAGUCCCAAUUGUUACUCUUUCUAG
This is a non-coding RNA of Vicia faba (fava bean), 240 nucleotides long. Lineage: Eukaryota; Viridiplantae; Streptophyta; Magnoliopsida; Fabales; Fabaceae. The record is from the annotation of a GenBank genome assembly.